AACUAGCCUGUCGAACAGCAGUGGUUCGAUAGGUUCCCUGUCGAACCACGGUUGUUCGAUAGGGUG
RNAcentral lists this microRNA precursor (66 nucleotides) under Oryza glaberrima (African rice). RNAcentral's name for it is "pre miRNA MIR439". Lineage: Eukaryota; Viridiplantae; Streptophyta; Magnoliopsida; Poales; Poaceae. The record is from RNAcentral.